This 63-nucleotide transfer RNA is filed under the name Lophops carinata. RNAcentral describes it as "tRNA-His". Lineage: Eukaryota; Metazoa; Arthropoda; Insecta; Hemiptera; Lophopidae. The record is from RNAcentral.
GCUUAUUUAGUUUAAAUUAAAAAUUUUGGUUUGUGGUUCCAGAGAUCUUUUUGAGGAUAGGCU